AAAGGCUUGGUCCUGACUUUGCCAUCAACUUUAACUAGAUUUACACAUGCAAGUAUCCGCACCCCCGUGAGAAUGCCCCAUAACCUCCUGAAUUGGAGAUGAGGAGCUGGUAUCAGGCACAAUUAUUUUAGCCCACGACGCCUUGCUUGGCCACACCCCCAAGGGAAUUCAGCAGUGACAAACAUUAAGCCAUGAGUGAAAACUUGACUUAGUUAGUGUUAACAGGGCCGGUAAAUCUCGUGCCAGCCACCGCGGUUAUACGAGAGACCCAAGUCGAUGGCCUUCGGCGUAAAGCGUGGUUAGGACAAACCUAAAACUAAAGAUAAACGAUUUCAAAGCUGUUAUACGCUCAUGAAAAUCUGAAGAUCAACUACGAAAGUGACUUUAAAAUCCUGACCCCACGAAAGCUAUGGUACAAACUGGGAUUAGAUACCCCACUAUGCUUAGCCCUAAACUUAGAUAUUAAUCUACUUAUUUUAUCCGCCUGGGAACUACGAGCAUCAGCUUAAAACCCAAAGGACUUGGCGGUGCUUUAGAUCCACCUAGAGGAGCCUGUUCUAGAACCGAUAAUCCCCGUUAAACCUCACCUUUCCUUGUCUUUAUCCGCCUAUAUACCGCCGUCGUCAGCUUACUCUGUGAAGACCCCAUAGUAGGCACAAUCGGCACAGCCCAAAACGCCAGGUCGAGGUGUAGCGUAUGGAAAGGGAAGAAAUGGGCUACAUUCAGUAAAUUAAUGCAUACGGAUGACAUCCUGAAAAAGAUGUCUGAAGGAGGAUUUAGCAGUAAGUAGAGAAUAGAGUGCUCUACUGAAUCUGGCCCUGAAGCGCGCACACACCGCCCGUCACUCUCCCCGAGCUAAUAAAAGCACAUAAUUAAUAAACCAGACCUGCAAAGGGGAGGCAAGUCGUAACAUGGUAAGUGUACCGGAAGGUGCACUUGGGAGAACU
RNAcentral lists this non-coding RNA (947 nucleotides) under Halichoeres melanurus (tail-spot wrasse). RNAcentral's name for it is "12S rRNA". It matches the Rfam family "Bacterial small subunit ribosomal RNA". Lineage: Eukaryota; Metazoa; Chordata; Actinopteri; Labriformes; Labridae. The record is from RNAcentral.